This 256-nucleotide ribosomal RNA is filed under the name uncultured Pseudomonas sp. RNAcentral describes it as "partial 16S ribosomal RNA". It matches the Rfam family "Bacterial small subunit ribosomal RNA", at positions 1129 to 1382 of the family's 1533-position model. Lineage: Bacteria; Pseudomonadati; Pseudomonadota; Gammaproteobacteria; Pseudomonadales; Pseudomonadaceae. The record is from RNAcentral.
GGUCGGGCACUCUAGGAGGACUGCCGGUGACAAACGGACGGAAGGUAGGGAGGUGACGUCAAGUCAUCAUGGCCCUUACGGCCUGGGCUACACACGUGCUACAAUGGUCGGUACAAAGGGUUGCCAAGCCGCGAGGUGGAGCUAAUCCCAUAAAACCGAUCGUAGUCCGGAUCGCAGUCUGCAACUCGACUGCGUGAAGUCGGAAUCGCUAGUAAUCGUGAAUCAGAAUGUCACGGUGAAUACGUUCCCGGGCCUU